GGAAGGGCUCGUGUAGCUGCAGCAGGAUUUGAAAAAGGAAUUGAUCGUGACUUUGAACCUGUUCUUUCCAUGACCCCUCUUAAUUGAGAUGAGACAGGAGAUCCAAUGCUUGAAUGAAAUAAAAAUCACUUUGAGUACCCGUGACCCCUCUUAAUUGAGAUGAGACAGGAGAUCCAAUGCUUGAAUGAAGAAAAAUCACUUUGAUUCAAUCAUACAUCUUGGAAUCAGCCUAAGUAUUCCUUUUUUAUUUAUUUUUUUUCAAUUCAUUUUAUCUAAUUUAUUUUUCUGGCUUGGCUAGGUGGGAUAGAUGAGCCAUU
RNAcentral lists this long non-coding RNA (317 nucleotides) under Nicotiana benthamiana. RNAcentral's name for it is "long non-coding RNA (NBEN_LNC004790)". Lineage: Eukaryota; Viridiplantae; Streptophyta; Magnoliopsida; Solanales; Solanaceae. The record is from RNAcentral.